This 986-nucleotide ribosomal RNA is filed under the name Staphylococcus aureus M0621. Its description in RNAcentral is "bacterial SSU rRNA". It matches the Rfam family "Bacterial small subunit ribosomal RNA", at positions 8 to 975 of the family's 1533-position model. The record is from RNAcentral. RNAcentral also lists the same sequence under 1 other name. Lineage: Bacteria; Bacillati; Bacillota; Bacilli; Caryophanales; Staphylococcaceae.
AGAGUUUGAUCCUGGCUCAGGAUGAACGCUGGCGGCGUGCCUAAUACAUGCAAGUCGAGCGAACGGACGAGAAGCUUGCUUCUCUGAUGUUAGCGGCGGACGGGUGAGUAACACGUGGAUAACCUACCUAUAAGACUGGGAUAACUUCGGGAAACCGGAGCUAAUACCGGAUAAUAUUUUGAACCGCAUGGUUCAAAAGUGAAAGACGGUCUUGCUGUCACUUAUAGAUGGAUCCGCGCUGCAUUAGCUAGUUGGUAAGGUAACGGCUUACCAAGGCAACGAUGCAUAGCCGACCUGAGAGGGUGAUCGGCCACACUGGAACUGAGACACGGUCCAGACUCCUACGGGAGGCAGCAGUAGGGAAUCUUCCGCAAUGGGCGAAAGCCUGACGGAGCAACGCCGCGUGAGUGAUGAAGGUCUUCGGAUCGUAAAACUCUGUUAUUAGGGAAGAACAUAUGUGUAAGUAACUGUGCACAUCUUGACGGUACCUAAUCAGAAAGCCACGGCUAACUACGUGCCAGCAGCCGCGGUAAUACGUAGGUGGCAAGCGUUAUCCGGAAUUAUUGGGCGUAAAGCGCGCGUAGGCGGUUUUUUAAGUCUGAUGUGAAAGCCCACGGCUCAACCGUGGAGGGUCAUUGGAAACUGGAAAACUUGAGUGCAGAAGAGGAAAGUGGAAUUCCAUGUGUAGCGGUGAAAUGCGCAGAGAUAUGGAGGAACACCAGUGGCGAAGGCGACUUUCUGGUCUGUAACUGACGCUGAUGUGCGAAAGCGUGGGGAUCAAACAGGAUUAGAUACCCUGGUAGUCCACGCCGUAAACGAUGAGUGCUAAGUGUUAGGGGGUUUCCGCCCCUUAGUGCUGCAGCUAACGCAUUAAGCACUCCGCCUGGGGAGUACGACCGCAAGGUUGAAACUCAAAGGAAUUGACGGGGACCCGCACAAGCGGUGGAGCAUGUGGUUUAAUUCGAAGCAACGCGAAGAACCUUACC